AAAUCUACAUUACUUUUUCUCCCGCCAUUUGUAAAGCUAAAUCCUCUAUCCAUUACUUUCUCCUCCCGCCAUUGUUGUCUCUUCCACUUUAAUCCUUUUCCCAAUUCUUCCACCAUUUUUGAAAUCUCUCCAUUCCAUUGAAGAAACACCACACGAAACACUAUGAAUAUCGGUGCUUCUAUAUCUUCAGUCGCCGCCCUCCGCCUUCCUUUUUCCAUCCAUUCCUUUCGAACCUCCAGAACCCUCAUUUCUUUCCCUUCUCUAUCCCUCCUUCAUUCUCCAACUUUCCAUAACUUUUCUUCAAUCACUUCUUCCAUUACUGCGUCGAUGUCCACUUCCUCGUCUCCGACCACAGACCAGCCGGCUUUAGAUGACAAGAAGCCCGCGCCGCCGCCGAAGCCAUGGCUCAUCGUCGGCCUCGGAAAUCCCGGGAAGAAGUACGAUCGUACGCGCCAUAAUGUAGGUUUUGAGAUGGUGGAUGCUGUAGCUGAAGCUGAAGGGAUAUCCAUCAGUAAUGUUUCCUUCAAAGCUCUGAUAGGGAAAGGUUUCAUCGGGGAUGUUCCGGUAAUGCUAGCUAAGCCACAAACUUUCAUGAAUGCAAGUGGUGAGUCAGUUGGUGCUAUUGUUUCGUACUAUAAGAUUCCAUUGAAGCAAGUACUUGUGAUUUUUGAUGACUUGGAUUUGCCUUUUGCCAAGUUGCGGAUGCUGCCGAAGGGUGGCCAUGGAGGGCAUAAUGGAAUGAGGAGUAUUAUUGAUCAUUUCAAAGGCAGUCGUGAUUUCCCUCGAUUAAGAAUUGGUAUAGGAAGACCUCCCGGGAAAAUGGAUGCAGCGAAUUUUGUUCUUCGCCCCUUCAACAAACAAGAACGAGAAGAGUUGAACUUUACAUUGCAAGUUGGCGCUGACGCAAUACGGAUUCUUUUGCUUGAGGGGUUCAACAAAAGCGCAACAUUUGUCAAUACCAACAAGCCUCUGGAACAAAUAAGUUGAAAACAUUCAAUAUUUAAACAUUUUUAUAGACUCUAAAAGGACUCCAUUCUAUUUAUUGUAUGUAUCAAACUGCUUUAUACACUGGCUGACUUCGCUACAGUUUCAACUACCAACUUCCGUGGGUGAAAAGCGUAUUGCAGCAACAAAAACAAUCAGUGUCGGAUUUUGAACCCCAUCUAUGGUUUCUGUUGAAUAGCUUCCCUAUGGACUUACUUGCCUCAUAUGGAGUGCUUCCAAGUAGGUGAAUCCCACAAAACUUUAAAAUGUUGGUGAUGGGUUUUAAAACGUAAUAAUUUCCUACUAACCAUUUUCUACAAUUCAAUAGCACGUGGGGUUUAGGAUUUGGAGUCGAUGAUUUAAAUUUAUAGCCUUUUGGCAUAUGAUAUAAACAAAUGUUUCAUGUUA
Molecule: RNA transcript, 1392 nt
Organism: Cucumis melo (muskmelon)
Lineage: Eukaryota; Viridiplantae; Streptophyta; Magnoliopsida; Cucurbitales; Cucurbitaceae
Gene name: peptidyl-tRNA hydrolase, chloroplastic
Exons: 9
Source: RefSeq, a predicted model, not a curated record